GUUAUCGUGGCUGAGUGGUUAAGGCGAAGGACUUGAAAUCUUUUGGGAUCUUCCCGCGCAGGUUCGAACCUGCCGACAUCG
Molecule: transfer RNA, 81 nt
Filed under: Dreissena polymorpha
Lineage: Eukaryota; Metazoa; Mollusca; Bivalvia; Myida; Dreissenidae
Rfam family: tRNA
About the family: Transfer RNA (tRNA) molecules are approximately 80 nucleotides in length.
Source: Rfam by way of RNAcentral